AACUGCUGCACAAGGAGUGUCCGAUUGGACUCCUUUUCACACAAUGAACAACCAGCUUAGAACUGAUGCGGGCAAGGGGAAUCCGACUGUUUAAUUGAAACAAAGUAUUGCGAUGCCCUGAAAGGAUGUUGACACAAUGUGAUUUCUGCCCAGUGCUCUGAAUGUCAAAGUGAGGAGAUUCAACUAAGCGCGGGUAAACGGCGGGAGUAACUAUGACUCUCUUAAGGUAGCCAAAUGCCUCGUCAUCCAAUUAGUGACGCGCAUGAAUGGAUUAAUGAGAUUCCUACUGUCCCAAUCUWCUGUCCAGCGAAACCACAGCCAAGGGAACGGGCUUGGGUGAGUCAGCGGGGAAAGAAGACCCUGUUGAGCUUGACUCUAAUCCGACUUUGUGAAAUGACUUAGGAGGAGUAGGAUAUGUGGGAGCUCAGGUGAUCUUGAAAUACCACUACUUUUAAUGUCACUUUACUUACUCUAUCCAACUGUGCCCUGCCUCACAGCAGGUUUUUGCUUUYAAGGUUGCUCUUUUGGCGUGUUGAUUUGCGUAGAAGACGUCGUCCGGUGGGGAGUUUGGCUGGGGCGGCACAUCUGUUAAAGGAUAACGCAGGUGUCCUAAGGUGAGCUCAAUGAGAACAGAAAUCUCAUGCGGAUCAAAAGGGGAAACGCUUGCUUGAUUUUGCUUUUCAGUGUGAAGAUAAACUGUGCAAACAUGGCCYAUUGAUCCUUUAG
Molecule: ribosomal RNA, 726 nt
Filed under: Gambierdiscus excentricus
Lineage: Eukaryota; Dinophyceae; Gonyaulacales; Pyrocystaceae
Description: LSU rRNA
Rfam family: Eukaryotic large subunit ribosomal RNA
Source: RNAcentral